AACGAACGCUGGCGGCAUGCCUAACACAUGCAAGUCGAACGGGACCUUCGGGUCUAGUGGCGCACGGGUGCGUAACGCGUGGGGAUCUGCCCUUAGGUACGGAAUAACUCAGGGAAACUUGAGCUAAUACCGUAUAAUGACUUCGGUCCAAAGAUUUAUCGCCUAGGGAUGAACCCGCGUAGGAUUAGCUUGUUGGUGAGGUAAAGGCUCACCAAGGCGACGAUCCUUAGCUGGUCUGAGAGGAUGAUCAGCCACACUGGGACUGAGACACGGCCCAGACUCCUACGGGAGGCAGCAGUGGGGAAUAUUGGACAAUGGGCGAAAGCCUGAUCCAGCAAUGCCGCGUGAGUGAAGAAGG
This 358-nucleotide ribosomal RNA is filed under the name uncultured bacterium. RNAcentral describes it as "bacterial SSU rRNA". It matches the Rfam family "Bacterial small subunit ribosomal RNA", at positions 29 to 414 of the family's 1533-position model. The record is from RNAcentral.